AUGAACGCUGGCGGCGUGCCUAAUACCUGCAAGUCGAGCGAACGGACGAGAAGCUUGCUUCUCUGAUGUUAGCGGCGGACGGGUGAGUAACACGUGGAUAACCUACCUAUAAGACUGGGAUAACUUCGGGAAACCGGAGCUAAUACCGGAUGAUAUUUUGAACCGCAUGGUUCAAAAGUGAAAGACGGUCUUGCUGUCACUUAUAGAUGGAUCCGCGCUGCAUUAGCUAGUUGGUAAGGUAACGGCCUACCAAGGCAACGAUGCAUAGCCGACCUGAGAGGGUGAUCGGCCACACUGGAACUGAGACACGGUCCAGACUCCUACGGGAGGCAGCAGUAGGGAAUCUUCCGCAAUGGGCGAAAGCCUGACGGAGCAACGCCGCGUGAGUGAUGAAGGUCUUCGGAUCGUAAAACUCUGUUAUUAGGGAAGAACAUAUGUGUAAGUAACUGUGCACAUCUUGACGGUACCUAAUCAGAAAGCCACGGCUAACUACGUG
Molecule: ribosomal RNA, 496 nt
Filed under: uncultured bacterium
Lineage: Bacteria
Description: partial 16S ribosomal RNA
Rfam family: Bacterial small subunit ribosomal RNA
Source: RNAcentral